Molecule: ribosomal RNA, 468 nt
Filed under: uncultured bacterium
Lineage: Bacteria
Description: partial 16S ribosomal RNA
Rfam family: Bacterial small subunit ribosomal RNA
Source: RNAcentral
GACGAACGCUGGCGGCGUGCUUAACACAUGCAAGUCGAACGGAAAGGCCCUGCUUUUGUGGGGUGCUCGAGUGGCGAACGGGUGAGUAACACGUGGGUAACCUGCCCUUGACUUUGGGAUAACUUCAGGAAACUGGGGCUAAUACCGGAUAGGAGCUCCUGCUGCAUGGUGGGGGUUGGAAAGUUUCGGCGGUUGGGGAUGGACUCGCGGCUUAUCAGCUUGUUGGUGGGGUAGUGGCUUACCAAGGCUUUGACGGGUAGCCGGCCUGAGAGGGUGACCGGCCACAUUGGGACUGAGAUACGGCCCAGACUCCUACGGUAGGCAGCAGUGGGGAAGAUUGCACAAUGGGCGGAAGCCUGAUGCAGCAACGCCGCGUGCGGGAUGACGGCCUUCGGGUUGUAAACCACUUUCGCCUGUGACGAAGCGUGAGUGACGGUAAUGGGUAAAGAAGCACCGGCUAACUACGUG